This 593-nucleotide small RNA is filed under the name Spisula solidissima (Atlantic surf clam). RNAcentral's name for it is "cnRNA278". The record is from RNAcentral. Lineage: Eukaryota; Metazoa; Mollusca; Bivalvia; Venerida; Mactridae.
AAUGGAUUCAGCAAUGUAUAAUUGAAUGUUUUCUGAAUCCACUGAAUUUAGCAGAACUGACGUACGGGAUCGGUACGGUUAACAACUUGACUUUUGUCUGUCCUUCGCAAGAGAUGAAAAUGAGAAAUAAAUACGUUCACACCUUUGUAAUAGCUAACUAACCGGAUUAAGUUCCUGUUUAUUGUUAUACGAGUGCCCUGAGGGUAAUUAGCACCUUGUUUAUUGGGGUCUGUGUAUAGGAUAGACAACGAAUAUCGCUGGUUAUGGGAUUUAGACGCGAGCUUUAGCGAGCGUCUUAAUCCCAUAACAAGCGAUAUGAGAUGUCUAUCCGACUUAGACCACGUGACUUACUAAUGUACAUGUACCGUUAAACAAAUUAAAGAAACCGUUCAUUUUAAUACUGCGCUUCUGUAGACAUUAGAAACCACUCUGGUAAAGUAACUUUUUGUACGCGAAUGUAUGAGAAUGGGUUUGAUGCUCAGGCAAUUAUGAGCCGCAGCGGCCACCGCAAUACUGCCGUGCGUGACUAUAAACGUCCAUCACAUACGCUCUUAGAACAAGUUAGUUCACAAGUCACUGCAGCCACCAUCUUU